Molecule: unclassified non-coding RNA, 204 nt
Filed under: Hevea brasiliensis (rubber tree)
Lineage: Eukaryota; Viridiplantae; Streptophyta; Magnoliopsida; Malpighiales; Euphorbiaceae
Source: RNAcentral
UUCCUUGAGCAAAAGAUUGCCUAGACCAAUUAAAGGGACCACCAAGUCUUCACUCUCUACACCUCUGCUUGAUUCUAAAAUAGUUAUUGCACGUUGGUAAAUCUCUAUGGCUUUUGUCACUCUUCCAAUUGAAACAAGAACUUUUGCCAUCCCCAAAAAUGGUGAGACAAGAAAAAUACUACUUUUCCCAUAUUUGCUUUCUAG